GGAUUUAAAAUUACAACACCAAAUUCACUACAUCAGAAAUCUUGACUUGAAUUUAUAAUAACAAACGCUUUUAUGAACUAGCAUCCUACAUUUCUGGGAUUAAACAAUGUCAUAACAAAUAAGGUUUCCGAUAAUUAAUUCAUAUCUCCUGAUGCCUUUGACUCGUACAAGUUUAAACUCUUCAUUCAACCUUCAAACUCAUGUGCUUAAAAACUUCAGUGGCUAGCAAACUCAAGCCCGAUCUCUCACAAAUUUAUUAAGUGUUCACAAUCACCAAUAACAUGAUGAUGUUAAUUCUCAAAUUGCUAACACGUAUCAUACUAAGCUAAACACAAAUCAAUCUGUUACAAUUAGAGGCAGAUUUUUGUUUUUACUCAAACACAGAAAUAUUGUCACAAAAACAUACUAGAUUUGACUUUGUGACAUCUUAUCUAAAAACAUUAAUCGCGCGAAGAGCAAUAAUGGAUCUGGACACACAUAGAUCUAUGAAGAACCAACAUGAUUUCAAUUUGAGGAAUUACAAACUACUUAAGUGUCAGCAACACGAGUCAAGGAAUGCAUUUUAAUUUCAUAACCAAAACAUGCCAUAUCAUCAUUAAACUCAAUACAUUUAGAGAUCUAUAAGAAGCACUAAGUUAAAACCUGAACAACGAGAGAGAUUUAGGACCAAAUAAAGUUUAGAAAAUUCGAAGAGGGAGCUCAGCUACGAAACCAUAGAAUCAACAGCGAAUCAACAACAAUUAAUAGAGUUUUUGAGAUGGAAUUACUCCUUUGGAACCCAACAAGUAAGGAAUAAUCGGUCACAGGUGGAAACACUCUUCAAAUCCUUUUGAAAUCCUAAGCUUUCUACUGUUUUUGGAGUCUUUGAUCUCAGAUCUCUUUUUUGAAUUUUUUUGACUUUAGAAAUUUUUGGUUUUCCGCUGUUUUUGAAUACUGCUGAAUUUUCAGAGUGAAAUGGGUCUGUGUGCGAAUUUUUUAGACUCUGAAUACAUGCCCAAAGUAUGAGGAGGAAUGCCUUAUUUAUAGAUUAUUGGUUAGGGCUCUUUUCAAAUUUCCCUUUUUGUUUUACCCCUCUUAUUUUCAGUUUUUACUCCAACAGUCCCUAAUAAUAACAAACCCUUCUACAUCUUCUUUGCAAAUUAAUCAUUUUCAACACCUUCCUCGAAGUUUCCUAAAAGAUUCUCUAAGGGUGGAAUUCCUUAAUUAUCCCGUGUCUUUCCAGUAUUUACCAAUUUUUAGAAAUUAACUUUCUUUUAACUCAAUUACUACUCUUGUUUUACCACAUAUUUCACUAAAUUUCUGGCAGUGAGCCUUAGACUAAAAGAAUAAUAGGCAAUGUCGACCUGGGCUCAAAGCCCACUGGUCUUUUGUAUUUUUGACAAGUCUGUUAAUGACCUAGCCUAAUUUCAUUUAAAUUUGAACCAAACUAACUAAGAGAGUAUUUAAACACUAACAAAAUAUAUGGAAAAUUUACAACAAAAAUAAAAAAUAAGCCAACUCAUAAACUAAUUAGCUAACACAAAAUCGAACUAACAGAAGAAUACUCUUAACUUCUAAUGCUAUUUGAUCAAUAAUUAAAAUAUGCGAUUAUUCACCUAUAAAUAAAAAAAAUGACAACACAUAAAAAAACCAUAGAAGAAGAGGAGGGAAGAGUAUACCUAUUGGAUCAAACCGAGCUGUCAAGAGAAAAUUCCGAUGAGCCAGAGGAUUGCUACACAAGCACCAACCAAAAUUUGUCACGCCGGCCAGUGCUAUAUGUAGCAAUAGCUCUUGCAUGCUGGAGGUGAUGAACGAAGAAGCUUUGAGAGGACUGGCCGGUCAACCAGAAUUUGAUCGGGCCCCGAUGGCCACGAAAUGAGACGAAACCACCACCAAUCGACAAUACUCAUCAAGAGAUGUCGAUUAGUGUGAAUUUUAACCUCAGACGUGUAAGAAUAGAAGAGGAAUCAAGAAAGACUUAAAUUCCCAGGUCUACUAAUCGUGGAGUUUGGGUGGAUUUUUACGGAAAUGGUUGAGAAAUUAGGGACGAGGAGGAGUGAGGAGUAUCUGGUGAAAAUAUUUAGCCAAUUGGUGGUGGUCCGCCGCCGUGGCGAUUUUCGGCGGCGAUCAGACGGUGGUCCUCCACGGCGUGAAGGCGGAAGGAGGACAGUGGGCGGUGAAAGCAAUUUUUGGCCGCCCAAGAGAGAUGAGAGAGAAUGGGGAUUAGGGGUGGUGUAUAAAUAUUGAAUUUUUAUCAAUCAUUUUUAUUAUAAAGGGAAAAUCAGUGAAAUGACAUAGCUAUGUUGCGAGACUACUUUGUUUAGAUGGUCUGAUGCUAAGAUUGUUUGGACCGGGUAUUGAAUUGUACUGCACGGGUAUUCUUAGUAAAACUGGGCCCAAAAUCGUGGCCCAGUCUCAUUUUGAGCUUAGUAGCCUUAUCCUCCCUUCUUCUUCAUUUUACAAUUAGCCACUAAUCAACUGACAUACCAUUUGCAAAAUUAUCCUACUAACUGAUUCUAUCUAAUGACUUACUAUAAAAAUUAUAAAUUAUCCUACUAAUUAUGUGAGUAAGUAGGUCCAAAAAUGCAGAGUUAUUAGCUAAUAUAUUUUUAUGAUUUUGUGUUUAAUAAAAACUGCAAUUAGCAGGCAUUUGAGUGCCAGCAAUGCAAUUAGAAUCUGAAAAUACGAUGAAUGAAAUAAAAAGGUAUUUUUGGUGAUUUUCUAUGAUUUAACAUGCUCUUAGUAAUACAAAUAAUGCAUACAAACUAACAAAGAAAAAAUCUUUAAAGUUUCAAGAAAAAUCAAAAUAAUUGAUAAUACUAUUUUUAGACCUUUUAGGAGCAAUUUCAGGUGAGGCAAAAAUUACGUGCUCACAGUAACCUGUACAUGCAACCUAGUUCUUCCAUAUAAUCAAUCUGGUUUGUUAAUGGUGUACCCUGUGUUGAAAAACACAAUUAGGGAUUGGUGUACCCUAUACUGAAAAAGAGAUUAGGGAGUGAUGUACCCUAUACUGAAAAAGAGACUAGGGAGUAAUGUACCCUAUAUUAGCAAUGAGAUCAGGGAAUGUUGUACCCUACAUUUAAGAUCAUUAACUAGGGAAUGAUGUACCCUAUACUGGUAAAGAGACUAGGGAGUGGUGUACGCUAUAUUAGCAAUGAGAUCACGAAAUGGUGUACCCUACAUUACAUAUAUAUACUAAACUAUACUAUAUAUACUAAACUAUACUAUAUAUAUAUAUAUAUAUAUAUAUAUAUAUAUAUACUAUACACUUAGUAUAUAUUUACUUUUUAGUAGUAACAUGAAAGGACCAAAGUAUGGUACUUCUUAGCUGGUAUAAAUAUGGAAGGAUAAAAGAUCAAGUUUUAGCUCAACUCAGUAUAUAUUAUAGUAUAGUAUAUAUAUAAGCUAUAUUUGNNNNNNNNNNNNNNNNNNNNNNNNNCUAUUUUAUAAAUAGCCAAUGGCUAUAUUUUAUUUUAUUUUAAAUUUUGUUUUUUUUUUAAAAAAUAAAAAUAAAUUAGCCGUUGGGACCGUUUGGCCCGCUAAGGGACCGGGCCGGUCCCAGACCCUGGCGGGCUAACGGUCCCGGGCCUGACGAGCUCAGAUCAUAGGACCGACCCACGAGACUGGCCCAGAACCGCUAAAAUCGGGCCAAACAGUCCUGGCCCGUUUAGCCCGUUUGGCCCGUUUGGCCCGCGGUCCCGGGCCUGGACCGGCCCACUUGCCACCCUUACCCACUGGUCUUCUGUAUUUUUGACAAGUCUGUUAAUGACCUAGCCUAAUUUCUUUUAAAUUUGAACCAAACUAACUAGGACAGUAUUUAAACACUAACAAAAUAUAUGGGAAAUUUACAACAAAAAUAAAAAAUAAGUUAACUCAUAAACUAAUUAGCUAACACAAAAUCGAACUAACAGAAGAAUACUCUUAACUUCUAAUGCUAUUUGAUCAAUAAUUAAAACAUGCGAUUAUUCACCUAUGAAUUACAAACACUGACAACACAUAAAAAAAGAAAAAACGUAGAAGAAAAGGAGGGAAGAGUAUACCUAUUGGAUUAAACCGAGCUGUCAAGAGGAAAUUCCGAUGAGCCGGAGGAUUGCUACACAAGCACCAACCAAAAUUUGUCAUGCCGGCCAGUGCUAUAUGUAGCAAUAGCUCCUGCAUGCUGGAGGUGAUGAACGAAGAAGCUUUGAGAGGACUGGCAGGUCUACCAGAAUUUGAUCGGGCCCCGAUGGCCACGAAAUGAGACGAAACCACCACCAAUCGACAAUACUCAUCAAGAGAUGUCGAUUAGUGUGAAUUUUAACCUUAGACAAGUAAGAAUUGAAGAGGAAUCAAGAAAGGGGCAAUUUCAGUUUUUCUUAAAUUCUCAGGUCUACUAAUCGUGGAGUUUGGGUGGAUUUUUGCGAAAAUGGUUGAGAAAUUAGGGACGAGGAGGAGUGAGGAGUAUCUGGUGAAAAUUUUAGCCAAUUGGCAGUGGUCCGCCGCCGUGACAAUUUUCGGCGGCGGUUAGACGGUGGUCCACCGUGGCGUGAAGGCGGAAGGAGGACAGUGGGCGGCGAAAGCAAUUUUCGGCCGCCCAAGAGAGAUGAGAGAGGAUGGGGAUUAGGGGUGGU
RNAcentral lists this long non-coding RNA (4589 nucleotides) under Nicotiana tabacum (common tobacco). Its description in RNAcentral is "long non-coding RNA (NTAB_LNC001787)". Lineage: Eukaryota; Viridiplantae; Streptophyta; Magnoliopsida; Solanales; Solanaceae. The record is from RNAcentral.